GGCUGGUCCAACAGUAGUGAGUCAACAUAAAUUACUACUAUUAGUUAAACCAACCUUUCAGUAUUUUCAGUAUUCUGUCCCUCUGCUAACCUUGGCUAUUCUUUU
RNAcentral lists this non-coding RNA (105 nucleotides) under Numida meleagris (helmeted guineafowl). Lineage: Eukaryota; Metazoa; Chordata; Aves; Galliformes; Numididae. The record is from RNAcentral.